Dendroctonus ponderosae (mountain pine beetle) is the source of this 809-nucleotide long non-coding RNA. RefSeq lists it as uncharacterized. The record is from RefSeq and is a predicted model, not a curated record. The transcript has 3 exons. Lineage: Eukaryota; Metazoa; Arthropoda; Insecta; Coleoptera; Curculionidae.
GAAGUCACGCUUAAGGUCCUAAUGGAUUUCAAACUAAUUAUCCCUCGUCUGCUAAUGGUCUGUCUUUGCUUCUCGUCUGCUAAACGGAUUUCCUUGGAUCAGAAGCCAUCGAAUGUUAUAAAUGCGCAUUUGCUCCAUACAUUUACUUCACCAAUGAAUCAUCUUUUUGUAAAGAUUUUGACCAUUCUAACAGAUUCAUAGUAGAUUGCCCUUACUCGACGUUUUGUGUAAAAAAGAACACGUACGCUAUUAUUAACGGAGUGUCAAUAAAUGGUACUGAAAGAGAUUGUGCGUCCCAAAAACUUGACACGCAACGUUUAAGUAAUGGUAAAUGGCAUCCUGAAACCAGAGUGGAAGAACCAUAUGAAGAAGGGUGUAAGGCAAAUGAAGAUAAAGGUCUGAGAACAGCUUAUGUAGAACACUGCUAUUGUAGAGGCGAAUUGUGUAAUUCAGGCAAAACUGUAUUCGAAUUUGGACUUUUUACAAUUCUAUUAAAUUCUCUAGCUGUACAUCAGGCUGUUGGCUUUAUGUUCUUAUAAUAAAUGUUUUCCUGAUAAUUAUUAAAUAAAUUAAAAGACAAAGUGCAUAUAAAAAUACAAAAGAAUAUAGUAAAAAUUAUGUAGAUAACUUAAGUAGAUAAUCAGGUUUAUAUUAUUAUUAGUUUCUAUAUAUGCGAUUGCUUUGACGCAAGGCAAUCACUACCAGUACAGCAUUUGUUGGUAUCGUGUUAUCUUGAAAAUGACAAAGUACACAUUAUCAGUUAUGUUGAACGCAUAAUGUAACAAUAAAAAAAAUGGAAUAAAUUUAAA